UCAAGGUGGUUGGAGACUUGAAUGAGCUCUUGAGGAGUUGGUGAACUUGAAAUAAAAGCUUCUUGACCUUUUUAAGUGGGCUCUUGCUUAGGGUUGACAUGAAUGCUUGAAGAACCUUUUUCAAAUCUCUUUCUUAUCUUUUAUUCCCUCCUUUAAGUGCCUUUUAUAACUUUAAAUAAUAGUGGAGAGUAAUCUGGACUG
This 201-nucleotide long non-coding RNA is filed under the name Elaeis guineensis (African oil palm). RNAcentral describes it as "long non-coding RNA (EGUI_LNC059276)". Lineage: Eukaryota; Viridiplantae; Streptophyta; Magnoliopsida; Arecales; Arecaceae. The record is from RNAcentral.